CCGCACGAGCGCACCCUUGUCUCAUGUUGCCAGCGCGUUAUGGCGGGGACUCGUGAGAGACUGCCGGGGUCAACUCGGAGGAAGGUGGGGAUGACGUCAAGUCAUCAUGCCCCUUAUGUCCGGGGCUUCACACAUGCUACAAUGGCCGGUACAAAGGGCUGCGAUGCCGUGAGGCUUAGCGAAUCCUUUAAAGCCGGUCUCAUUUCGGAUCGGGGUCUGCAACUCGACCCCGUGAAGUCGGAGUCGCUAGUAAUCGCAGAUCAGCAACGCUGCGGUGAAUACGUUCCCGGGCCUUGUACA
RNAcentral lists this ribosomal RNA (300 nucleotides) under uncultured bacterium. RNAcentral describes it as "bacterial SSU rRNA". It matches the Rfam family "Bacterial small subunit ribosomal RNA", at positions 1087 to 1387 of the family's 1533-position model. The record is from RNAcentral.